GAUGGCUUUUUAUUAGAGACUUCCAUGACCUGCGAGUAUAACAUCAGAGAAGGGUGGGAAUGCUGUACUCCAGAACAAGGGGCUCUUGGAGAAGAACCAAGUUUGCUAUGGAAUCUGCUGGAGAGGUUACUGGAACAAGAAUGAAGAGGUCAUAGGGAUCUCUUAUGCAGUUUUUAAGUAGCAGUCAGAGCUAAAAUCCUAACCAGCACACUCAGGAAGAAGAAACACACCACAGUUGAACUCUGUCAUCCUAUUUUGGGUAAUAUUGGGUCAGGAAUGUAUGUCUUUGGGAGGAUGUGGUGCUUGGGUAGCUAUUGUGCCUUAAAGCAGAUGGUGUUUGAGAAAAUAAAAAGAUAAUAAUUGUAAAAACAAAGGAUAACAAAUAUUUUUAAAAGUAACACUCCUCAAAG
This 410-nucleotide long non-coding RNA is filed under the name Ictidomys tridecemlineatus (thirteen-lined ground squirrel). RNAcentral's name for it is "lncRNA (ENSSTOG00000030070.1)". Lineage: Eukaryota; Metazoa; Chordata; Mammalia; Rodentia; Sciuridae. The record is from RNAcentral.